Molecule: ribosomal RNA, 256 nt
Filed under: uncultured archaeon
Lineage: Archaea
Description: partial 16S ribosomal RNA
Rfam family: Archaeal small subunit ribosomal RNA
Source: RNAcentral
AUUAGAUACCCGCGUAGUCCCAGCCGUAAACUAUGCGCGUUAGGUGUAUCGGUGACCACGAGUCACCGAGGUGCCGAAGGGAAACCGUGAAACGUGCCGCCGUGGGAAGUACGGUCGCAAGGCUAGAAACUUAAAGGAAUUGGCGGGGAGCACCACAACGGGUGGAGCCUGCGGUUUAAUUGGACUCAACGCCGGGAAGCUCACCGGAUAAGACAGCGGAAUGAUUGCCGGGCUGAAGACUCUGCAUGACUAGCUG